This 496-nucleotide ribosomal RNA is filed under the name uncultured bacterium. RNAcentral describes it as "partial 16S ribosomal RNA". It matches the Rfam family "Bacterial small subunit ribosomal RNA", at positions 30 to 523 of the family's 1533-position model. The record is from RNAcentral.
AUUGAACGCUGGCGGAAUGCUUUACACAUGCAAGUCGAACGGUAGAGGGGGCAACCCCUCGAGAGUGGCGAACGGGUGAGUAAUAUAUCGGAACGUGCCCAGUCGUGGGGGAUAACGUAGCGAAAGUUACGCUAAUACUGCAUACGAUCUAAGGAUGAAAGCGGGGGAUCGCAAGACCUCGCGCGAUUGGAGCGGCCGAUAGCAGAUUAGGUAGGUGGUGGGGUAAAGGCUCACCAAGCCAACGAUCUGUAGCUGGUCUGAGAGGACGACCAGCCACACUGGAACUGAGACACGGUCCAGACUCCUACGGGAGGCAGCAGUGGGGAAUUUUGGACAAUGGACGCAAGUCUGAUCCAGCCAUUCCGCGUGCAGGAUGAAGGCCCUCGGGUUGUAAACUGCUUUUGUACGGAACGAAAAGGUCUCUCUUAAUACGGGGGACUCAUGACGGUACCGUAAGAAUAAGCACCGGCUAACUACGUGCCAGCCGCCGCAGUAA